AAUGGGGGCAACCCUGAUCCAGCCAUGCCGCGUGAGUGAAGAAGGCCCUAGGGUUGUAAAGCUCUUUCGCCAGGGAAGAUAAUGACGGUACCUGGUAAAGAAGUCCCGGCUAACUCCGUGCCAGCAGCCGCGGUAAUACGGAGGGGACUAGCGUUGUUCGGAAUUACUGGGCGUAAAGAGUACGUAGGCGGCUUGCCAAGUUGGGUGUGAAAGCCCGGGGCUCAACCCCGGAACUGCAUUCAAAACUGGUUGGCUAGAGAUCGGAAGAGGUAAGUGGAAUUCCCAGUGUAGAGGUGAAAUUCGUAGAUAUUGGGAAGAACACCGGUGGCGAAGGCGACUUACUGGUCCGAUACUGACGCUGAGGUACGAAAGCGUGGGGAGCAAACAGGAUU
This 392-nucleotide ribosomal RNA is filed under the name uncultured Alphaproteobacteria bacterium. RNAcentral describes it as "bacterial SSU rRNA". It matches the Rfam family "Bacterial small subunit ribosomal RNA", at positions 370 to 779 of the family's 1533-position model. The record is from RNAcentral. Lineage: Bacteria; Pseudomonadati; Pseudomonadota; Alphaproteobacteria.